CCUACGGGAGGCAGCAGUGGGGAAUAUUGCACAAUGGGGGAAACCCUGAUGCAGCGACGCCGCGUGAGUGAAGAAGUAUUUCGGUAUGUAAAGCUCUAUCAGCAGGGAAGAAAAUGACGGUACCUGAUUAAGAAGCCCCGGCUAACGACGUGCCAGCAGCCGCGGUAAUACGUAGGGGGCAAGCGUUAUCCGGAUUUACUGGGUGUAAAGGGAGCGUAGACGGCAUCACAAGUCUGGAGUGAAAUGCCGCGGCUUAACCCCGGAACUGCUUUGGAAACUGUGCAGCUCGAGUGCAGGAGAGGUAAGUGGAAUUCCUAGUGUAGCGGUGAAAUGCGUAGAUAUAAGGAGGAACACCAGUGGCGAAGGCGGCUUACUGGACUGUAACUGACGUUGAGGCUCGAAAGCGUGGGGAGCAAACAGGAUUAGAUACCCUGGUAGUC
This 440-nucleotide ribosomal RNA is filed under the name uncultured bacterium. RNAcentral's name for it is "partial 16S ribosomal RNA". It matches the Rfam family "Bacterial small subunit ribosomal RNA", at positions 338 to 795 of the family's 1533-position model. The record is from RNAcentral.